RNAcentral lists this ribosomal RNA (413 nucleotides) under bacterium enrichment culture clone ALO1_GLFRUDD03F6ELD. RNAcentral describes it as "bacterial SSU rRNA". It matches the Rfam family "Bacterial small subunit ribosomal RNA", at positions 9 to 424 of the family's 1533-position model. The record is from RNAcentral.
GAGUUUGAUCCUGGCUCAGAUUGAACGCUGGCGGCAUGCCUUACACAUGCAAGUCGAACGGCAGCACGGGAGCUUGCUCCUGGUGGCGAGUGGCGAACGGGUGAGUAAUGCAUCGGAACGUAUCCUGGAGUGGGGGGUAACGUAGCGAAAGUUACGCUAAUACCGCAUAUUCUGUGAGCAGGAAAGCGGGGGACCUUCGGGCCUCGCGCUCUUGGAGCGGCCGAUGUCGGAUUAGCUAGUUGGUGAGGUAAAGGCUCACCAAGGCGACGAUCCGUAGCAGGUCUGAGAGGAUGAUCUGCCACACUGGAACUGAGACACGGUCCAGACUCCUACGGGAGGCAGCAGUGGGGAAUUUUGGACAAUGGGGGCAACCCUGAUCCAGCCAUGCCGCGUGAGUGAAGAAGGCCUCGGUU